RNAcentral lists this ribosomal RNA (808 nucleotides) under Clostridioides difficile. RNAcentral describes it as "bacterial SSU rRNA". It matches the Rfam family "Bacterial small subunit ribosomal RNA", at positions 1 to 841 of the family's 1533-position model. Lineage: Bacteria; Bacillati; Bacillota; Clostridia; Peptostreptococcales; Peptostreptococcaceae. The record is from RNAcentral.
UUAUUUGAGAGUUUGAUCCUGGCUCAGGAUGAACGCUGGCGGCGUGCCUAACACAUGCAAGUUGAGCGAUUUACUUCGGUAAAGAGCGGCGGACGGGUGAGUAACGCGUGGGUAACCUACCCUGUACACACGGAUAACAUAUCGAAAGGUAUGCUAAUACGGGAUAAUAUAUUUGAGAGGCAUCUCUUGAGUAUCAAAGGUGAGCCAGUACAGGAUGGACCCGCGUCUGAUUAGCUAGUUGGUAAGGUAACGGCUUACCAAGGCGACGAUCAGUAGCCGACCUGUGAGGGUGAUCGGCCACAUUGGAACUGAGACACGGUCCAAACUCCUACGGGAGGCAGCAGUGGGGAAUAUUGCACAAUGGGCGAAAGCCUGAUGCAGCAACGCCGCGUGAGUGAUGAAGGCCGUCGGGUCGUAAAACUCUGUCCUCAAGGAAGAUAAUGACGGUACUUGAGGAGGAAGCCCCGGCUAACUACGUGCCAGCAGCCGCGGUAAUACGUAGGGGGCUAGCGUUAUCCGGAUUUACUGGGCGUAAAGGGUGCGUAGGCGGUCUUUCAAGUCAGGAGUGAAAGGCUACGGCUCAACCGUAGUAAGCUCUUGAAACUGGGAGACUUGAGUGCAGGAGAGGAGAGUGGAAUUCCUAGUGUAGCGGUGAAAUGCGUAGAUAUUAGGAGGAACACCAGUUGCGAAGGCGGCUCUCUGGACUGUAACUGACGCUGAGGCACGAAAGCGUGGGGAGCAAACAGGAUUAGAUACCCUGGUAGUCCACGCUGUAAACGAUGAGUACUAGGUGUCGGGGGUUACCCCC